This 253-nucleotide ribosomal RNA is filed under the name uncultured bacterium. RNAcentral's name for it is "partial 16S ribosomal RNA". It matches the Rfam family "Bacterial small subunit ribosomal RNA", at positions 524 to 776 of the family's 1533-position model. The record is from RNAcentral.
UACGUAGGGUGCGAGCGUUGUCCGGAAUUAUUGGGCGUAAAGAGCUUGUAGGUGGUUUGUCGCGUCUGCUGUGAAAAUCCGGGGCUCAACCCCGGACUUGCAGUGGGUACGGGCAGACUAGAGUGUGGUAGGGGAGACUGGAAUUCCUGGUGUAGCGGUGGAAUGCGCAGAUAUCAGGAGGAACACCAAUGGCGGAGGCAGAUCUCUGGGCCGUAACUGACGCUGAGGAGCGAAAGCAUGGGGAGCGAACAGG